RNAcentral lists this ribosomal RNA (301 nucleotides) under uncultured bacterium. RNAcentral describes it as "partial 16S ribosomal RNA". It matches the Rfam family "Bacterial small subunit ribosomal RNA", at positions 509 to 807 of the family's 1533-position model. The record is from RNAcentral.
CAGUAGCCGCGGUAAUACGAAGGGUGCAAGCGUUACUCGGAAUUACUGGGCGUAAAGCGUGUGUAGGUGGUUGUUUAAGUCUGUCGUGAAAGCCCUGGGCUCAACCUGGGAAUUGCGAUGGAUACUGGGCGACUAGAGUGCGGUAGAGGAUAGUGGAAUUUCCGGUGUAGCAGUGAAGUGCGUAGAGAUCGGAAGGAACAUCUGUGGCGAAGGCGACUAUCUGGGCCAACACUGACACUGAGACACGAAAGCGUGGGGAGCAAACAGGAUUAGAGACCCCGGUAGUCCCUGUCUCUUAUAC